Molecule: unclassified non-coding RNA, 378 nt
Filed under: plant metagenome
Description: partial contains 5.8S ribosomal RNA, internal transcribed spacer 2, and large subunit ribosomal RNA
Rfam family: 5.8S ribosomal RNA (bases 1-105)
Source: RNAcentral
GAAAUGCGAUAAGUAAUGUGAAUUGCAGAAUUCAGUGAAUCAUCGAAUCUAUGAACGCACCUUGCGCUCCUUGGUAUUCCUUGGAGCAUGCCUGUUUGAGUAUCAUGAAAUCUUCAAAGUAAAUCUUUUGUUAACUCAAUUGGUUUCUACUUUGGUAUUGGAGGUCUUUGCAGCUUCACACCUGCUCCUCUUUGUUCAUUAGCUGGAUCUCAGUGUUAUGCUUGGUUCCACUCGGCGUGAUAAGUUAUCUAUCGCUGAGGACACUGUAAAAGGUGGCCAAGGUAAAUGCAGAUGAACCGCUUCUAAUAGUCCAUUGACUUGGACAAUACUUUUAUGAUCUGAUCUCAAAUCAGGUAGGACUACCCGCUGAACUUAAGC